UAGGGAAUCUUCCGCAAUGGACGAAAGUCUGACGGAGCAACGCCGCGUGAGUGAAGAAGGAUUUCGGUUCGUAAAACUCUGUUGUUAGGGAUGAAAAAAUGUAUAGUAACUAUAUACAAAAGAGACGGUACCUAACCAGAAAGCCACGGCUAACUACGUGCCAGCAGCCGCGGUAAUACGUAGGUGGCAAGCGUUGUCCGGAAUUAUUGUGCGUAAAGCGCGCGCAGGUGGUUUAGAAAGUCUGAUGUGAAAGCCCACGGCUCAACCGUGGAGGGUCAUUGGAAACUAAUAAACUUGAGUGCAGGAGAGAAAAGUGGAAUUCCUAGUGUAGCGAUGAAAUGCGUAGAGAUUAGGAGGAACACCGGUGGCGAAAGCGGCUUUUUGGCCUGCAACUGACACUGAGGCGCAAAAGCGUGGGGAGCAAACAGG
This 429-nucleotide ribosomal RNA is filed under the name Verrucomicrobiota bacterium. Its description in RNAcentral is "Verrucomicrobia bacterium partial 16S ribosomal RNA". It matches the Rfam family "Bacterial small subunit ribosomal RNA", at positions 355 to 776 of the family's 1533-position model. Lineage: Bacteria; Pseudomonadati; Verrucomicrobiota. The record is from RNAcentral.